This 405-nucleotide ribosomal RNA is filed under the name uncultured bacterium. RNAcentral describes it as "partial 16S ribosomal RNA". It matches the Rfam family "Bacterial small subunit ribosomal RNA", at positions 30 to 526 of the family's 1533-position model. The record is from RNAcentral.
AUUGAACGCUGGCGGCAGGCUUAACACAUGCAAGUCGAACGAGUGGCGGACGGGUGAGUAAUGCUUGGGAAUCUGGCUUAUGGAGGGGGAUAACGACGGGAAACUGUCGCUAAUACCGCGUACCAUAGGAUGAGCCCAAGUGGGAUUAGGUAGUUGGUGGGGUGAUGGCCUACCAAGCCGCCGAUCUCUAGCUGGUCUGAGAGGAUGACCAGCCACACCGGGACUGAGACACGGCCCGGACUCCUACGGGAGGAAGCAGUGGGGAAUUGUGGGAAAUGGGCGCAAGCUGAUCCAGCCAUGCCGCGUGGCUGAAGAAGGCCUUCGGGUUGUAAAGGACUUUUGUCAGGGAGGCGGUACCUGAAGAAUAAGCACCGGCUAACUACGUGCCAGCAGCCGCGGUAAUUC